Molecule: long non-coding RNA, 1490 nt
Organism: Eucalyptus grandis
Lineage: Eukaryota; Viridiplantae; Streptophyta; Magnoliopsida; Myrtales; Myrtaceae
Exons: 4
Source: RefSeq, a predicted model, not a curated record
CUCUGUCCCCAGCAAGUCGCCUCCGCCUCCGCCUCCCCAGAGCCCCGACGGUCCCGAGCUCAGAUCUGCCUCCGCCGUCGCCUCCCCCGAGAGUCCCACCGGUCGCAGCUACUGAGUUCCCGAGCCCCUCCGCCUUCGGUUUAUCUUCACCGAGGGACUCUGUUCUACCGGUCGCAGCGUCUCUGCUCGGGAAUCCUUCGUCCAUUGAGACGAUUAGUUGAGCAUCACCCGUCGUCGCUUGAUAGGUCUUCUUCAUUGCGGCAAGAGUUGCCAGCUAAGGCGGACGAAGAACAAUCUCAUGCCGGACGUAAAACGUUGGCCCUUUCACUCCCGAGAAGGAGAAGCUUGUCAUUCAGCGUUGUGGAAUACCCGGUAACAGGUACCUAUCUUACACUCUCCGAGACUCAUGGCUUGUGCUUAGGCUGAUUAAACAGUUCAUUGGAUAAGGUUGGCCUAGUAGAGUAGAGAUAAUAACACUUCCGAUGGCAUUUGGAUCUUGAAUAGCUGAUACAAUGGGAAGUACCCUUCUGGAGUUAUAUCAGUUACUGUUGUUUUACGACUCUUGACCUUUCAAGUCUUGGAAGAUCGAUGGUGGUUUGACUCUCGGACAUUUUGUUGUGCCUAAGCAAGUUGAUGAUCGGUACUUGUUAUCUAACUAGAUGCAAAUUUUGAUUAAGAAAUGGCCCAGAAUAAUGACACCGUCCAGGAUGAGCAAAUAAUGUAGCUUCUGCUGCGAAUUCUUAAGCUUGCAAAGGGUGUGUUUGAAUUCCAGGUAGCAUCCUGAAGAUGCAUUCUUCGACUCUUGCUUGGCUGUUUAUUUGUAGCUAUACAAUGUCCCAUACUAAUUGUGGUUUUUGUAUGAAAGACGGGUGUCACUUAAGGAUUUGCAAUCGAAUCUUCAGAUAAUUAUGCAUUGUCAUAACCGACUAUUAAGAAGCAGUCGCCUCUGCCUUCGCCACAUGAGCCUAUCGGUGGCAUUGGACCUGGUUGUUGCCAAGACUAUUGCUUAAUUUGAUGUUUUAAAGCCGUCAGUCAGUUAAUUCACAUGUGUAAGGUUAUCCAAUAGCUGAGUCAUAGGUAAUCCUGAACUCAUACUAUACGAAAGAUAUUUGCUUUGUCAAUAAAUAGAUGUGAUGUUAAUUUUCUAGUAAAAGUACUAUGUUAAAUAUUUUUUGUUCCUUGCUUGCUCAUAAAAAUGUCCAUUUAGCACAUGUAACUCUGAUUUGAAUUUUUUUUUAGUUUACAAUAGCAAUGAUUUUUGCAAGUGAACUUGAAUAUAUCAUAAAUAUGUUGCCAUGUAAUAGGCAAAUGAUUUGAACUGACGAAGGCUAAGAUUAUAAAAAAAUGACCAAGGAAAAAUAACUCAAUGGAUUUUUGUGUGGAAUUGUGAGGGGUAUUUUGUCAACUCAUCUAAGAACUUGAAGUUAGAUGUGGAUGUCCUCCUCCUUUUAUCAAAUAUAAGGUUUGAAAAUGGCGCUUAUGAAGUUAUA